RNAcentral lists this transfer RNA (81 nucleotides) under Flavobacteriales bacterium. RNAcentral's name for it is "tRNA-Leu". It matches the Rfam family "tRNA". From Rfam's summary of the family: Transfer RNA (tRNA) molecules are approximately 80 nucleotides in length. Their secondary structure includes four short double-helical elements and three loops (D, anti-codon, and T loops). The record is from RNAcentral. Lineage: Bacteria; Pseudomonadati; Bacteroidota; Flavobacteriia; Flavobacteriales.
GCCCGAGUGGCGGAAUUGGUAGACGCGCACGACUCAAACUCGUGUUCCACUGGAGUGCCGGUUCGACUCCGGCCUCGGGUA